CCUACGGUGUGCAGCAGUGAGGAAUAUUGGUCAAUGGACGCAAGUCUUAACCAGCCAAGUAGCGUGCAGGAUGACGGCCCUCCGGGUUGUAAACUGCUUUUAGUUGGGAAUAAAAGGGGGCUCGUGAGCCCCGUAUUGUAUGUACAAUAAGAAAAAGGACCGGCUAAUUCCGUGCCAGCAGACGCGGUAAUACGGAAGGGCCGGGCGUUAUCCGGAUUUAUUGGGUGUAAAGGGAGCGUAGGCAGGCGUUUAAGUCAGCGUGGAAAGUCCGCGGCUCAACCGUGGAAUUGCAGUUGAUACUGGAGGCCUUGAGUGCACACAGGGAUGCCGGAAUUCAUGGUGUAGCGGUGAAAUGCUUAGAUAUCAUGAAGAACUCCGAUCGCGAAGGCAAGUGUCCGGGGUGCAACUGACGCUGAGGCUCGAAAGUGCGGGUAUCAAACAGGAUUAGAUACCCCGGUAGUC
Molecule: ribosomal RNA, 462 nt
Filed under: uncultured bacterium
Lineage: Bacteria
Description: partial 16S ribosomal RNA
Rfam family: Bacterial small subunit ribosomal RNA
Source: RNAcentral